This 217-nucleotide unclassified non-coding RNA is filed under the name Hevea brasiliensis (rubber tree). Lineage: Eukaryota; Viridiplantae; Streptophyta; Magnoliopsida; Malpighiales; Euphorbiaceae. The record is from RNAcentral.
CCCGAUCUACCCAGUGAAAAGCUCCAAUACUGUCAAUCAUUAGGAAAUUAACACCAAUUCCUUGAGCUUGCCUUUCCUUUUGAAGCUGGUAAUGCAAUGUCUUGAGAGUAGCAAGAAAUUCAAGAGUAUCAUAACAACGGAUAUAGAGAAAUCGUCUCAUGCAUUCUACAAAUAAUUCCUCAUCAUUUGAUUGAUUCUUAUUUGCCUGGAAAAUUCG